UUCCUAUUUUAUCCCAGUCUCUUCAUUAUUUUUGUGUUUAUCCUUAUGGAUAUUUAUUUAAAUUCCACACCUAUCUUUAUGGCAUGUGCAAAAGCUUAAAGCAUAAACAUUAUCAUAAUAUCUAUAAGCUAUGCUCAUGUCUACAUAAUAUAAUAGACCCUUCUCAAAUAUAUCAUGGGAUCAUUAAUCCUGACCUUGAUUUGCUAGGCCCUGUAACACCCAAAAAUUUGUUUUCAAUUAAUAGGAAUUAAUUAAAUUUAUUUAAGUAUUUUUGUGAGCAUUUAAUUUAGUGAAUAAAUAAUUUUGUUAAAAUUAAAAUUUAUUAUAAGUUUAGUAAACUUGAUUGUGCAUUCAUGCUGAGGUAUAUUUUAUUUUUGUGCUAAUUCCUUUUUGUUGGAUUUGGGUUGCUCUCAAAAUUCUAUUUAAAAAGGUUUUGGAAAACAGAAAAGAAAAAAAUAGAAAAAAAACAAAGGAGAAAAACCCCAGCCAGCCCAGCUCGGCAGCAGCAGCCCAGCCCCCUCCCUGGCCUGCUUGCCCCCUCCUCUUUUCCCCGCAGCCCACCCGACCCCCUGGCUUUCCCCCCUACGCACAGGCCCAGAUCGCGCAUAGCCCAGUCCCCCUUGGCCCAUGUCACAGCCCAGCAACAAGCCAGGCCGCGCGCGGACGCACUCCCCUCCCCUCUCUUCUCUCUCUGUUUCGCUGGCAACCGGGCCCGCGAGUCAGUCUCCCUUCCCGUUUUUCCUUUCUUCUUCCUUCCGUAACCGGCUGGGAAUCUCCCUCCCCGAAGGCAAGGCACCC
Molecule: long non-coding RNA, 798 nt
Filed under: Sorghum bicolor (sorghum)
Lineage: Eukaryota; Viridiplantae; Streptophyta; Magnoliopsida; Poales; Poaceae
Description: long non-coding RNA (SBIC_LNC008160)
Source: RNAcentral